This 58-nucleotide transfer RNA is filed under the name Loxodonta africana (African savanna elephant). Lineage: Eukaryota; Metazoa; Chordata; Mammalia; Proboscidea; Elephantidae. The record is from Rfam by way of RNAcentral.
UGGCACAGUGGUUAAAGCACUCAGCUGCUAACUGAAAGGUUGGUGGUUUGAACCCACC